UCCCUGGUGGUUCAGUGGUUAAGACUUCGGCUUUCACUGCCAUGGACCCAGGUUUGAUCCCUGGUUGGGGAA
RNAcentral lists this transfer RNA (72 nucleotides) under Bos taurus (domestic cattle). It matches the Rfam family "tRNA". Rfam says of the family: Transfer RNA (tRNA) molecules are approximately 80 nucleotides in length. The record is from Rfam by way of RNAcentral. Lineage: Eukaryota; Metazoa; Chordata; Mammalia; Artiodactyla; Bovidae. RNAcentral also lists the same sequence under 3 other names.